This is a long non-coding RNA of Equus caballus (horse), 1840 nucleotides long. The record is from Ensembl. NCBI's taxonomy places the organism in Eukaryota, Metazoa, Chordata, Mammalia, Perissodactyla, Equidae.
CCCUACCUGCAUUAUCUCCCACAGCCUGCACUGCUAACCCAGGAUGGGCAAGUGGAGGAUGAAAUACAGGAGAGAAGAAACAAAGUUGGCUUACACUUUUAGGAAUUUUCCCCUAAGGAAAUCACGAGGAAAGAGGAGAAAGCUUCAAGCGUUUGUCUUUGGAGACUUCACAAAUAUCAGGGCCCAAGGUGGUCUAGACCCUAGGAGCUGGAUAACGCAGCAGAAGAUGAAAUUCUUUCAGAGGCGGCUCGUGAACAGCUUCCCAUUCAUGCACGGGAAACUCCUGCAUAAAAAUGCUACCAGUUCUCCCCAUUUACACACUCAGCCUCUUGAGAUUCACUUAAGGAACAAGAAAAAGAGAAAGCUAAAAUAAGCCCUACAGGGGACUUGGCACCAUAGCUAGAAACCACCAAGCAACCAAGAAGACACACGCGAGGAAGUUUCUAAGCAGGCUGGAAAUCAAAGCAACUCCGAUUCGGAAUAUCUUUGAGUGUCUGUCCUCUGUCCUUCAGAUCGGCAGAGAGAUUCCAGAGAAGCAGCAGCGGGGGCCACAAGGCCGCGCUCCACAGCCCUGCCAGCCUCCGGGGAGGAGGAAGUCGGCGGAGCGCUGGGUUUUUGCAAGCACAAAGGGCGGGGGAAGAGCGGAGCGGCGCGGGCCUGUGGAGCGAUGCUGCCAUCAAGCGGCCAGAGUUUCCCUGAGCGACGAACAGCGGCCGGGAGGACGCUGUCUUGGCGGCCCGGUCUCUGCUCUUAGACCCGGAGGAUCCACUAGGGGACCGGAGCGAGAUGAACGCGAAGGGGAAAGCCCCAGCGGCGCGAGCCGGAAGCCCGCCGAGCGGCCGGCGGGGCUGGCCCGGAAGCCGACUGACCCUCGCGAGGCGGGAGCGCGCCUCCAGAAGGCCCGGCCCCGAAGCCGGAGCAACGGCAGGCAGCCGGAGGCUCCGGCUGUUGGAGCGCGGCCGUCCCGGGGCGGGAGCGCCAGGGCCGACGGGAAGUGUGGCCUUGGGCGUCAGGGUUGUAGGGAAUUCGGACGGUCCUUUCGGGCCCGUGGCCGGAGUUUAACUUGUGGACGGCUUCUCCUGUUCUCCGUGCUAGCGGACACUGCCGGGACGGCUGAGAGCGAGGAGGAAGCCGUUCAGGCCCCGGACCCAUCCUAAAUGGCGUCCAGACGACAGCCGCACCAAACCGGCCCGCUGAUAAUCAAUCUGGCAGCCAGAAUAAUGCCACCGAAACCUACAAUCGGAUCACGUGAUGCCUCUGCUCCAAACCAACAGCGUUCGUUGCUCUUCAGGGUAAACUAGGAGUCCUUGUGAUCGCCGACAAGGCCAUCUGUGACGUGGCCACUAGUUCCCUCUCUUCCCUGAUCUCCUAGGACCCUCCUCCUUUCUCACUCCCCUUUGCCUACGGUGACCUCCUUCCUGCUCCCAAAGUGAGGGCUUUGGCACCUUCUGUUCUUUCAGCCUGGAGCAUUCUUUCCCCAGAUGUCUGCAUGGCUACCUCCGUCAUCUCUUUCAUGACUUCGAAUAAAUGUCACCUUUCAAUAUGGCUCGCUCCUACACUUAUUAUUUCAAGUGUCACCACCUCACCCCCUUCACUCACUCACACACACACACACACACACACACACACACUUCCCAUUUACCCGGUCUUCUUCUGUUCUGUCUUGAAUGCACGUUGUUCUGUCAACACGUUAUGUAAUUUAUUUCCUUAUUAUAAUUGUUUGCUUGUCUCUGCCCACUAGAAGGCAAGCUCCUCAAAGCCAGGGUUUUUGUUGUUGUCUAGUAUGUGUGCUCGGUUGUUCCCUAAUUUAUCCCAAAGGUGACUGGCACGUAGUAGGUGC